Molecule: ribosomal RNA, 484 nt
Filed under: uncultured bacterium
Lineage: Bacteria
Description: bacterial SSU rRNA
Rfam family: Bacterial small subunit ribosomal RNA
Source: RNAcentral
GAUGAACGCUAGCGGCAGGCUUAACACAUGCAAGUCGAGGGGUAGAAGGAGCUUGCUCCUUUGAGACCGGCGCACGGGUGCGUAACGCGUAUGCAAUCUACCUUUUGCAGAGGAAUAGCCCAGGGAAAUUUGGAUUAAUACCUCAUAGUAUGUGAGGAUGGCAUCAUUUUCACAUUAAAGUCACAACGGCAAAAGAUGAGCAUGCGUCCCAUUAGCUAGUUGGUAAGGUAACGGCUUACCAAGGCUACGAUGGGUAGGGGUCCUGAGAGGGAGAUCCCCCACACUGGUACUGAGACACGGACCAGACUCCUACGGGGAGGCAGCAGUGAGGAAUAUUGGACAAUGGGCGCAAGCCUGAUCCAGCCAUGCCGCGUGCAGGAUGACGGUCCUAUGGAUUGUAAACUGCUUUUGUACAGGAAGAACACUACUUCGUGAAGUAGCUUGACGGUACUGUAAGAAUAAGGAUCGGCUAACUCCGUGCCAG